UACGGAGGGAGCUAGCGUUGUUCGGAAUUACUGGGCGUAAAGCGCACGUAGGCGGCUUUUUAAGUCAGGGGUGAAAUCCCGGGCUCAACCCCGGAACUGCCCUUGAAACUGGAGAGCUAGAAUCUUGGAGAGGCGAGUGGAAUUCCGAGUGUAGAGGUGAAAUUCGUAGAUAUUCGGAAGAACACCAGUGGCGAAGGCGACUCGCUGGACAAGUAUUGACGCUGAGGUGCGAAAGCGUGGGGAGCAAACAGG
RNAcentral lists this ribosomal RNA (252 nucleotides) under uncultured bacterium. RNAcentral's name for it is "partial 16S ribosomal RNA". It matches the Rfam family "Bacterial small subunit ribosomal RNA", at positions 524 to 776 of the family's 1533-position model. The record is from RNAcentral.